Long non-coding RNA from Dermochelys coriacea (leatherback sea turtle), 166 nucleotides. RefSeq lists it as uncharacterized. Lineage: Eukaryota; Metazoa; Chordata; Testudines; Dermochelyidae. The transcript has 3 exons. The record is from RefSeq and is a predicted model, not a curated record.
CACCCUCCUAGUGAAAUAGUGUUUCCUGAUAUCCAACCUAGACCUCCCCCACUGCAACUUGUGACCAUUGCUCCUUGUUCUGGCAUCUGCCACCACUGAGAACAGCCGAGCUCCAUCCCCUUUGGAACACCCCUUCAGAUAGUUGGUAAGGCUGCUAUCACAUCCU